UACGGAGGAUCCGAGCGUUAUCCGGAUUUAUUGGGUUUAAAGGGUGCGCAGGCGGGAGAUCAAGUCAGCUGUGAAAUGUAUCUGCUUAACGGGUACACUGCAGUUGAAACUGGUUUUCUUGAGUGCGUAAGAGGCAGGCGGAAUUCGUUGUGUAGCGGUGAAAUGCUUAGAUAUGACGAGGAACUCCUAUUGCGAAGGCAGCUUGCUGGGUCGUUACUGACGCCGAUGCUCGAAGGUGCGGGGAUCAAACAGGAUUAGA
This 259-nucleotide ribosomal RNA is filed under the name uncultured prokaryote. RNAcentral's name for it is "partial 16S ribosomal RNA". It matches the Rfam family "Bacterial small subunit ribosomal RNA", at positions 524 to 782 of the family's 1533-position model. The record is from RNAcentral.